GCCGUUACAACCUUAGCAUGCCUCACUUGUCCUGUGCUUCGUGUGGAUAUUCACGAGAGGCGUCUUUGCCAGAACUUCAAAAGAGUGGUUACUGGCCUGGUAACAUCCCUGCAAGUGCACUGUUCACAACAGAUGUGCUUGUCUCAUUUCAAGAGAUGAAAAUGGCAUCACCAGGGAUGUCUUUUCAAGCAUUUGUUAAAAUGUUUGAUGAGAAAACAAUUCUCUUUGGUAGAAGUGGAAAAAUAUCGGCCAUUGCCUUCAGCUGCAGUUUCAAUGAAUGGGUUGCAGCAAGAUAUGCAGUGGAAAAGAUGUGUCAGGAGGAGUUUUUCACUUGUCUAGCAUGCACUCCGGACAUGUUAGCUGUAUCUGUUGAUGGCAAUCGCAAACACUAUCGCUUUAAAAACAAAGCAAGCACAGAGAAAAGGGCAUUACUUGACCAACUUUUUAUACAGAGUGAUGUGGAUGUGUACUGAUCACGUAAGUAUUAUGAUUGGCAAAUAUUACUGUUUAACUUGAUUUCACAGCUUUUCGCAAAUAAUUUUACACAUUUCUUGAAGUAAAAUGUAUUUCUUAGAAAAAAAUUUAACAGACCCAGAAGAUAUCGAUAUGAUGCCCUCUGACAACAUAUGUAUGUUUUGACUACUUAAGAUGUUUGUGUUCAUUGUUUUGAAAUUAGCUAGGAUUGAAGCAUUUGGAGAUUGUGUAGUUUAAGAACAUAAUAUAACAGUAAACAGUUAAUAUGUACAACACAUGGUGGGAUAGAUUUGGUUGUUUGAAGCAUUAAUAAUUUUUUGAGAAAUCUAUAAACUUAUCUUAAUGUUCUGUAAAUAUUUCAUCUUUUUUGUUGAUCAGGUGUAAAGUUAUGUCACAUUUAGAGUGGUCUACAGUAUUUAGCAGUGUAUCUUUUGAGCUUUUAAAAAAUGUGUGUAAUUUAUAUGAUCCAGGUGUCGGGAAGAGGAUUAUGUGGUGCAUCACACUGGACAGCAGCAAAAGAACUGGCCAAGAAAUCAAGCAGCAAACUGGAUGAGGAGGGAUUAGAGAUCGCUGUCUGUCGCCAUGGCGUUCUCCUUAUGGCCUUAAAUAUGUUUCGAGGGGAAAUUUUUGCUUACCCACUUUUUCUUGCAGACAUGUCACAGGGGAGCAUCAAAUUCUUCUGUUCAGAUGUAGCCUGUAUUUCCAAGCACUUCCCCGAGCUGCAGUCUUUACUGGACAUGCAUCCUUUUCUGUCAGUGAUGCAUGCCAAAGCACACUAUUGGAAAUGUGAGGUCAAGUAUAGUGGGGCCUACCAGGAAGGAGCUGGGUCAACUAUUGGUGAGGAAGUGGAGCAGGCGAACAGCUUCCUAUCUAGAAUUGCUGUUACAAGCAAAUACAUGUCAAAAUCAGGUAUGUUGAAUAAGGUAUGAUUUUAUGCAGAAUGCCUUUUGUUAUGUACACAUGUCUCAUUACAUGUUCUACUAUUUCUGUUAUAGGCCGAGCAGACAUGAUUACAAUGCAAGCCAUGUUGUGGAUUAAGCGGAAGAUUCUCAAUUUGGGACAAGCUCUGGUUAACAGAUAUGUAAAGGUAUUACUUUCUUAUCAGUCAAAUAUUGCAGUUGGGAUUUGUAGGUUUUACUACUUGAUACAUAUAUAUUAGUGCUCUAAUAUAAUUAAAUAUUUUUAAGAAAAAAUAUACGUUUGAACAUAAUGCACAAGUGCAGUUAAACCUGAAUCUGACAUUCUUUAUCUAAAUGAUGUAAUUUUGUCCCAUAAUUUACCGUUUUAAAGGACGAGAUAUAGCAGUGGCUGGCGCGGGAUGCUAGAGUGGUGGGGGAUGGGGGUGGGGGAUGGGGUGGUUUGCUUUAUCUUCUUCUUUGGAAUUUUCGGUGUAUUGCGCACCACAUAACGCCGCCAACUGUUUAUAUGUAUGUAUUUAACUGUUUAUGUAUGAUACAAAGUUAGUACCGUCCCAAGCUUGUGUAUUCCUUUAUUCCUUUGCUUUAUUUAUUUAUUUAUUUAUUCCAAACAUCCAAUUUCUCUUAUUUUUUUCUUUAUCCUUACCUUUUAAGUUCUUUAUCAUUUUAAUUAUUAUUACAUGUUCAACGGUCCUGCAAUAUGUUUACCUAUUUGGUAUAUACGGUUUCAACGGCAUCAACAUAAACAAACAUUAAUGCGCGUGAGCGCUUUUGUGGACCUAACUUAACUUCCGGUAGACUCCAAAUAGAAUCAAUAACAACAGCCAAGUCCCUCUAGAGUAGAAAUUUUUUGAUAACAAACAAAAUGUGUUUUCUGUGUGGAUCAGGCGGACUUAAUGAAAAUGCUAAUUCAUUCUUUGCCAGCAGGAGAUGUUUUAAAGCAUAGACAUAAAGCGCGAGAAAUAGAGGUUUCCCCAGUAACAGCUGUAAACAAAGCAGAGCUACGCUCAUACGCUGCUAUCAGGCAUAUAACAUGCAAAUCUUCUUUCAGAAAUACAGCGAUAUAAAAACACCCGUGCCUCGUUUUGAUAUUUAAACAUAAAUGUAAGGAAUUAUUAUUAAACGUGUGGUAUGUUACGUAAUGUUACGUUACUCAUGUUUAUUUAACGAAGCCUUUUUGAAAAUCGAUCAGUUUUAAAAUUGUGGCGAGUCUCCAAAAAUAAAUAAAUGUAUGGGAAACACAUCCCGCAGCACAACCACCUGAGCCCAACUUCAGUCUACUCAUCACCUUGGCUUUAACUGCGUUUGUAGAUGGCACCGCAGCCAGACCGAUAUACACAACACAGACCGGAAGUUAACUUAGGUCCAGGCGCGUGCGCCCGAUGAAACCGUCUAUAGUGAUGCAUUUAGUCCUGCGUGCCCAAAUGAUAAUCUAUUUAAAAUCACCUCAUCUUUCCUAUAUCUUCCAAAAUGUUAUAUAUUUUUUUAAACUGAUGAAUUAGAACCCAGAGCCUUAGAAAUUAGAGCCUCUCCUUGAACUGUCACCUUAUCGUGGUGGAGAGGUUUGAGUACCCGAAUGAUCCUGGGAGCUAUGUUGUCUGGGGCUAUAUGCUCCUGGUAGGGUCUCCCAAGGCAAACAGGUCCUUGGUGACGGGCCAGACUAAG
Molecule: long non-coding RNA, 3056 nt
Filed under: Carassius auratus (goldfish)
Lineage: Eukaryota; Metazoa; Chordata; Actinopteri; Cypriniformes; Cyprinidae
Description: lncRNA (ENSCARG00000024377.1)
Source: RNAcentral